Manis pentadactyla (Chinese pangolin) is the source of this 5425-nucleotide long non-coding RNA. RefSeq lists it as uncharacterized. The record is from RefSeq and is a predicted model, not a curated record. The transcript is spliced from 3 exons. NCBI's taxonomy places the organism in Eukaryota, Metazoa, Chordata, Mammalia, Pholidota, Manidae.
AGUGUUUCGGGUGUGGUGGCAGCUGCUGAUACUGCUGCAGGCCAGGGGGACCGAGAAGGCCAGCCUUGAGCAAGGAAUGACAAAUGCACUGAGACGUCGGAAGGAGGAGGCAGAGGCUGCACUUAACAAGAGGAACCAGUCCAACAGUAGACGUGCAGUUGGAGGCAGGGUCUGGUCCAGGGCCCAGGCUCCUGGGUUCUCAUCUAGCUUCCUCAGCCUGAUGAAAACCUAGUUAAAACACAACUGCAAUGGAACUCUGGUCCUCAGACUAAGAUAGAAAAGCCAGCACACUAUUGUAACACAAACAUUAACUUCACCUAUAGCAUGGCCAAGCAGAAUAAGGUUUUACAGAGGCAAAUGGCAGCCAGAUUAAAAGUCAAGCUCUGGAGUCCAGCAGACCAGGGUUUACACCCUAACUCCACCAUGUACUAGUUUUGUGAACUUGAACACAUGACUUGACCUCUCUGAACCUUGGUUCCUUUCCGUUUUGAGUGAGGUUAAUGAGAGAACCCAUACUGUAGGGUGACUGACUGACUGUGAGAGCGGAUGUUCAAAAACUGACAGCCUCUGAUCCAGCUACUGUUGUUUAACCUCACGCCCAAUUUACUGUGGCCAUUUCUUAAAUAUUGAGGUCUUUAUUAUUAUGUCUGCAAAUUGGGAUCAUAAUAUACAUACCGUUCUGCAACUUGCUUUUUACACUUAGUAUGUUUUCAAGCUAGUAUUAUAGAGGCACUUCAUUUUUUUAAUGGAACAAAAUUUCAGAGAUGCACAAUAGGCAUUGUGCAUUCUAAAGGUAUUUGUGUUUUGCAGAUCACAUCAGCAGCAACACAUAUUUGAAGGGAGUGGCAUGUGCAUGAAUGAGCCAUAUUCAAUCUUUGACUUAGACUCUAGAAAUAAAUGAAGACCAACCAAAUGGGAAAAGCGAAGGCUAAUUAUACAGAGCUUACAAUAGCAAGGGAGUCAGCCAUGGUCACCUGCAUUUUCUGAGAUGCAAAGGUAGGCAGAGGACUGGGAGAGCUUUAUAACGGAAGGAAUGGAGGGCUUCUUGUGUGCCCUGAUUGGAGGCUGUUGGCACGGGGACACUUGAGAGAGGCAGGGCAUCUUAUUGGUUAGGGGUGUGUGUGUUAUUCUCUCUGGUUGGUCCUAAGUCAGAAGCAGGGACAAAAAUUAGAGGUGCCACCGGGUAUUAGUCAAGUUCUAGACAUUUGGGGCCAAGUUUUACAGAAUUAUUGUUUCGCUUCCUUGAUUGUCACUAGACAUAGCAGCCUGGCUUCCUGGGCUGUUUAUUGUAGAUAAAGGGCUGGUCUUCCGGGCAGCUUGGGGCUCAAAGUCAAUAUGAUCUGGCCAUUGUUUGCAUAUUCAGUCUUUCAAUGCACAAGGCUUAAUGGUUCAUAAGCAUGUAUGAACCCCUUGCAAAUGAUUUCACGAAGGCCCCUUUCUUCACAGCCCACAGAAAGGAAUCCAUUACUUAAAAAAUUAUUGGAAAAUAAUGCUGGCAUAUAUCCUGGGAUGGAUGCCUUUUGUGGGUAGUAAUCUUGCUCAGACUCCCUGCAAAGGCCACAUGCUUUCCAGGCAAGGAACAGAAUAUUCAGUUGUUUGCCCUUCUCUCCUGGGUAAGAGAAGUUCAGCUGCUGAAGGCAGCUGUGAUGCUCGGGAGAUGCUGUGGGCUGCUGUUCAAAGGGAUUUCGCAUUGGAAGUCCCCUGGGGUCUGAUGCCACCUCUGCCCCAUCCUAGCCAGGCACCUCUGGGAAGCCACCAGCUCCAGGCCUGCUUCUGCUUCUGGGAUACAAGUCCAGCUUGGUGCUUUCACAGCCGCGCCCCCCCACCACCCGGAUGCAUGUGAGAGCUGCAACACUAUUUGUGAAAAUGUUUCAUAAACUGUGUAGAGUUAUGCAAAUGUUAAGUGGGUAUUAUCAGGAUUACAGAAAAGUUAUUGCCUGGAAUCAUGCUUCCAGAAUUUUAAAGAAUCCAUCAAUGGGAUUUUUUUGAAAAAAAAUUUUUUACCCUGGCAUUGUUCUCAGCCAGGUUGCUAUGUGGAGUCUUAAUCGGUCUGCUAUUAGGUCUUUAAUCCAGCACACCAAUGAUUCAAUUAAUCAUUUCUGGCAUAACUACAAUGUCCCUCUGGAUUGUCUGCUUCUGGGAAGCCCUCUCAGCUGGAGGAGCGGCCCUAACUCCCUGUUCAUCCUGCAAACAGAUCAAAUGGCCCUGGGGGAAAAGCCCGAUUAAUGGUCAAAUGAAUUAGUAGCAAGUUGGGAAAAAAGAGAGAGCCAAAUGGUUACCAACACACAGUUUACCUUCCUUUACGCAAUGAGGUGGUCCAGUAAUGCAGCUAAAUGGGAUUGCUCCAGAUUGAAUCAAAUGGGGAGAUGGCUAUUUAAGGGCCCCCUGGGGGGAGUUACUUGAUAAAAGAGCUUUCCAUUUUCAUGAAUGAGUCCCCUGAUAGAACUGCUUUUUCUAAAUUUGAAUUUUUAUCAUCUGUUUUUCAAAUUAUUAUUAUGUAUUAUAAUACAUAUUAAACUAUAAGCAGAAAUUAUAGAAUAGACUAUAAAAAAUAUAGAGAAUAUAACAUUCCAUAGAAUAUAUGGAACAUAUUAUAAUUUCUGUAAUUAUAAUAGUUUUAGAGACCCAGUGGCUAAAAAAGUAUGUGAAUUACGUGGUUAUUUGCAUUUCUCCUCUGAGGGAAUAACAUUGAAACAAAGGUAGUGACUUGAUUUUAGUUCCUUCAAAAAAUGUACUUCAACAAGGGAAAAAAUUUCAACUCAGGAUAAAGAAAACAUUUCCAAUAAAUAGUUAUGACCUACAAGGGAAUGGGUUGCAUUUGAAGUAUUAAGCUCCCUGUCAGAAAAAAAAAAUGCAAAUUAUGGGGAGCAACUUUGUGGAAAUCUGUUUUCAUUUGAUGAUUGGGUUUGAAUUCAUUCUAGAAAAUCCAUGUCUACAAGAGACGUGAGAUGGGCAGGCCUCUCCUAUUUUCAGUAUGUUUAGGGUAAAAUAAAUAUAAACAACAAAUUUGAAGGGAAAGGAAGUGCCCCAGUUGCACUUGGAGUGAGCUAAUUGGUAGUGCUUACCGUGCUGCAUCUAGUGAUGGGGGACUCCAGAUGUCUGUAUUUACAUGUGCACUGAGGUAGUAGGUUGGGGGAAAACAUUAAGCCAUCAUCUGAGAGAAUGACUUUCUGUUUUCACUGGGAAUGCCUCCUCAAGUCACUGCCUGGAGCAAACAGCAACCAUCCCUUCCUUAAUCUCUUUUUUCAGCUAUUUCCAAAAUAUAAACACACAUUUACAUGCAUAGACAGGCAUAUAUGCCAUAAAGUAGACGAAGAACCCAGAGAGAGCCUUCAAUCGGGCCAAGAGGUCAGCCAUAGUCACAGGAAGACACCUUUAACAUCACCUGGAAGGGACAAACCCUCUCAUUUUACAAAUGAGCAAAGUGAGACCCAGAAAGACUCUGUGACUCCCCUGAGAUGGCACAGCCAGAUAAGCCCAGGGCGGAAAGUCCUUCCUUCUCCCUGUCUCCUGAAGGGCAUUGUGGGGAGAUUGCAAGUAGCCCUGCCUUGGAGACAGGGAGCCAUGGUGCUGUGCUCAUCAGUGGGGUGAUGCUUGCCAUCAGUUUGGAAGCUGCUGGAUAGGAUCACAAGUAAAUAUUAUUACCCUCUGCAAAUGAAAUGUUCCCCUGCACACAACCUGUUUUCACUUGUUGCCUGCAGCCACUGGCCGCUUGUGGCUGCAAAGAUUGACACUGAGCUCCAGCUCACCGGUAUCCAUUUGCUCACAAGCUUCAGAAAAUAGAAGGGCUGGGUCUGGUUCUUCUUAUUAAAAGCAAACAAACCCAUUAUUAAAAGUAAACAAGGCAGAACUGCUCUGAAACAAUUGAUGAAAUGUCUCCUGGCUCAGAGGCCUAAAUUCAGCCCUGUUACCCCAAACAAAACCUCCCUUAUUGAAAAUCUAAAGAGGGAAUGCCAGUAGUGUCUGGUUAGGAAGAACGCUCCCUGACCCCCCUUCUCUGUGCCCAUUACAGGUUAGGCUUGGAAACCCCAUUAUCUCUUAUCCUCAACAUUUAGAAGUGGUUGUUACAUUUUACAUUUACCAGUGAUGGCAAGGGCAGGUAAACUCAGAUGCCUCCGAUUGAUUAGAAAUAGAUGUUUUUCAGUUGCUUCACAUGGCAUGGUAAAGGUAUGCGGCCUGACCUCCGUAGGCAUGGGCUUGUGGUCCUGGAGUUCCAGCAUUCCAUGGGGCUGGCUAUCAAUCAGUUCCUGAAGGUUGUAACUUCUUUCACUAGUUUCCUGUCCUGUGACACAUUCUGUGCAUGGAAGUUAUACUUGGGUUUUUCCCAGAACACCAUCUGCAAACACAUACAAAACACGUUUAAGGCGAGUUAUUGCAACAGAUACGACUUGUUGAUUCUUGCUAGUUUCAUGUUCCAAAGGGGCUUCUUUUGCUAAAUUAGGGACACUUUUAUAUACUGACAACUCCCCAAUUUUUAUAAGGGAUUUAGAGGCUCCAGGCCCAUAAAGCAUUCUGUUAAGAAGUCAUGAGGUAAGCUGAAACCCAUUUUAUUUCAUAGAUGAGCCAUGGUAAUGAUCAAUAACUAUUCACAGCUAGCCUUUAUUGAGUACUUACUGUGCCAAAUGCUAGACUAAGUAAUCCUAUUCAGGCCUCACACAGCCUUAGGAAUUUGUACUUCUAAUACCCAUUUCACAAAUGAUGAAACUGAGGCACAGAAAGCUUGGAAGCAAAGGAACCAGAAUUCAAACCUAGACAAUCCACCCUCUUAACCACCUUACCUGCCUCUACACAGAAAUCCCCUUGUGAGUGUCACGAAUUUCACAAUCAUUGCCUGAAGUCUCACACCAACCCAGAGGCCUCAUAUAGCAACCUGAUCACACACAAAAAUCACCUGAGGGACAUUUAAAGCAUACCCAGGCAUGGGGAAAAUACUGUAAUGGUUAACAUUUGGGGAAUUUAAUGAAGGGUAAGUGGGAAAUCUCUGCAUUACUCUUGCAGUGUUUCUGUAUGUCUGAAAUUAUAUCAAAAUAGAAAUAUCAAAAGAAAAAAUGCAUUAGAAGAAUUUUAGUUGACCUGGAGUGAUUUCUACAGGAAUUGUUGAUAGCAAGAAGUGUUAACACAAAGUAUUAACAACAGAUCAGAAAAGUGUGUGUGAUAUGAUCCCAUCUGUAUAAAGCAAAUGAUGACAAAUGAAUAUAUACACGUGUACCUAUGUCCUUAUAGGAAGAUGGAAUAAAAUAAGUAGGAUACAUUAAAAAAUAUUGGAGCUCAGUUCCCAGAGAUUCUAUUUUAACUGGGCCUGGGAAUGGGUGUGUCUUGCCAAUGGGUUCAGCCCCGGGCAAGUUUGCUAUGGAUUCAAUGUGACCAAAGAAAAUUGACAGCAGAACGCUCUUUGGGGUGAAAGGGUUAUACCCAACUUUAUUUC